UUAAAAUGAUCACAAAUAUAUCUCAAUUUAAUCUUAAUUUAAUCCUAGUUAAAAUCCUAUUGGACUUUAUUCAAACUUUAGGCCAAUAACUAACUAAAUCUUAAACCCUAAAUAAAUCCUAAUAAAAUCUUAAAAAAAUCCUAAACAAAUCUUAAACCCUAUACCAAAUCCUAUAUCUUAAAUUUUAAAUCAAAUCCUAACCAAACUCUAAACCAAAUCCUAACCAAAUCCUAAAGUCUAAAUCAAAUCUUAAUUAAAUCCUAAUCAAAUCCUAAAUCCUAAAUCAAAUCUUAAUCAAAUUCUAAAUUCUAUUUUUAAAUCAAACCCUAAUAAAAUCCUAAAUUCUAAAUCAAAUCCUAAUC
This 362-nucleotide long non-coding RNA is filed under the name Physcomitrium patens. Its description in RNAcentral is "long non-coding RNA (PPAT_LNC009813)". Lineage: Eukaryota; Viridiplantae; Streptophyta; Bryopsida; Funariales; Funariaceae. The record is from RNAcentral.